This 400-nucleotide ribosomal RNA is filed under the name phytoplankton environmental sample. RNAcentral describes it as "partial small subunit ribosomal RNA". It matches the Rfam family "Eukaryotic small subunit ribosomal RNA", at positions 587 to 961 of the family's 1831-position model. The record is from RNAcentral.
AGCUCCAAUAGCGUAUAUUAAAGUUGUUGCAGUUAAAAAGCUCGUAGUCGUAUUUGAGCGUGUGCUGUCUUCGUUUUUGGUCUGCACUCAAAAGAGUGUGAUGACCCGAGCAGCUUCGCAAGCAACCAUUGGGUCGUGCCUGGUCUUGAUUGACUUGGGCGCGUUCUAUCUCGAUGGAUCAUUUACUGUGAGAAAAGUAGAGUGUUCAAGGCAGGCGUGUAAUUUUUGGCAAUUGAAUAUGUUAGCAUGGAAUAAUAAGAUAGGACUUCCGAGUCUAUUUUGUUGGUUUCUAGUUUGGAAGUAAUGAUUGAUAGGGAUAGUUGGGGGUGCUAGUAUUGAAUGGCCAGAGGUGAAAUUCACGGAUUCAUUCAAGACUAACUAAUGCGAAAGCAUUCACCAA